This is a long non-coding RNA of Oreochromis aureus, 284 nucleotides long. RefSeq lists it as uncharacterized. The record is from RefSeq and is a predicted model, not a curated record. The transcript is spliced from 2 exons. Lineage: Eukaryota; Metazoa; Chordata; Actinopteri; Cichliformes; Cichlidae.
ACCAAGACAUUCUCCUGACCUGUGAACAUCGGCGUCGUGACGUUUGUUUGCGGUCGCUUCGUGCAGGAGAACAUCAGCAGGUAACAAAGUCAGACGGAGUUACCGCAGUGCCGCUGUUUGAUUCACGGACACCGAGAGGCUGGAAGGACGCAGGGCUGUACCGCUCAUGUCCCUUUGAAACUGAAAAACUGCGACACACAUGGAAACGUGUGGAUGAUGAAAACAGCGGCUCUACAGUCUUUGUGUUUCCCUGACGGGCAUCAAUAAUAAAGUCAUAGAUGCAA